RNAcentral lists this ribosomal RNA (245 nucleotides) under uncultured Ktedonobacter sp. RNAcentral's name for it is "partial 16S ribosomal RNA". It matches the Rfam family "Bacterial small subunit ribosomal RNA", at positions 524 to 768 of the family's 1533-position model. The record is from RNAcentral. Lineage: Bacteria; Bacillati; Chloroflexota; Ktedonobacteria; Ktedonobacterales; Ktedonobacteraceae.
UACGUAGGGGGCGAGCGUUGUCCGGAGUUACUGGGCGUAAAGGGCAUGCAGGCGGUCGGACGCGUUUUGUGUGACAGCGGGUGGCUUAACUACCCGAGUAUGCGAAAGACGGUUCGACUUGAGGGCUCGAGAGGGACACGGAAUUCCGGGUGGAGUGGUGAAAUGCGUAGAGAUCCGGAGGAACACCGAAGGCGAAGGCAGUGUCCUGGCGAGCGACUGACGCUGAGGUGCGAAAGCCAGGGGAG